Molecule: long non-coding RNA, 524 nt
Filed under: Zea mays
Lineage: Eukaryota; Viridiplantae; Streptophyta; Magnoliopsida; Poales; Poaceae
Description: long non-coding RNA (ZMAY_LNC000591)
Source: RNAcentral
CCAACUCAGGGAAAGGCCCAAUCGCCCCAAAAGACUAGUCCAAUGGGGGAAGGGUGGCUCUCCCUUUUAAAGUGGCUUCCUCCUCCCAAGUUAAGCAAGGUGGGAUAAAUCUGAGGCUCACACGGUCACCGUCCGACUACAAUUGGGCCAACUGGGCCAACUGCGUCUUUACAACGGGUAAUAGUGGAGGAUGUCCUCAUCAUUCCCACCUUCUUAAAAUGGGCCCUAGCUCCGAUACCAGAUGAUACACCCAGCCCAGGUGGGGUUGGCCAAGGCCCAACAAAUUAGGGUUGCCCGGAGCCCAACAGUUCAUUAAGCACACCCAACUCAGGGAAAGGCCCAAUCGCCCCAAAAGACUAGUCCAAUGGGGGAAGGGUGGCUCUCCCUUUUAAAGUGGCUUCCUCCUCCCAAGUUAAGCGAGGUGGGAUAAAUCUGAGGCUCACACGGUCACCGUCCGACUACAAUUGGGCCAACUGGGCCAACUGCGUCUUUACAACGGGUAAUAGUGGAGGAUGUCCUCAUCA